Molecule: transfer RNA, 64 nt
Filed under: Spirobranchus giganteus
Lineage: Eukaryota; Metazoa; Annelida; Polychaeta; Sabellida; Serpulidae
Description: tRNA-Ala
Source: RNAcentral
GCCUUGGUAGUAUAAGGUAGUACAAUAGCUUUGCAAGCUGGGUGUGGGGUUAUCCUUCAAGGUU